UACGUAGGGGGCAAGCGUUGUCCGGAUUUAUUGGGCGUAAAGAGCGUGUAGGCGGCUAGGUAGGUCCGUUGUGAAAACUGGAGGCUUAACCUCCAGCUGUCGAUGGAAACCAUCUGGCUAGAGUCCGGAAGAGGAGAGUGGAAUUCCUGGUGUAGCGGUGAAAUGCGCAGAUAUCAGGAAGAACACCCGUGGCGAAGGCGGCUCUCUGGGACUGUACUGACGCUGAGACGCGAAAGCGUGGGGAGCGAACAGG
This 253-nucleotide ribosomal RNA is filed under the name uncultured bacterium. RNAcentral describes it as "partial 16S ribosomal RNA". It matches the Rfam family "Bacterial small subunit ribosomal RNA", at positions 524 to 776 of the family's 1533-position model. The record is from RNAcentral.